UAGCGGCGAGUGAAGCGGCAAGAGCUCAAAUUUGAAAUCUGGUACCUUCGGUGCCCGAGUUGUAAUUUGAAGAAAGCUAUCUUGGAUUUGGCCUUUGUCUAUGUUCCUUGGAACAGGACGUCACAGAGGGUGAGAAUCCCGUGCGAUGAGGUGUCCAUUUCUAUGUAAGAUGUUUUCGAAGAGUCGAGUUGUUUGGGAAUGCAGCUCUAAGUGGGUGGUAAAUUCCAUCUAAAGCUAAAUAUUGGCGAGAGACCGAUAGCGAACAAGUACAGUGAUGGAAAGAUGAAAAGAACUUUGAAAAGAGAGUGAAAAAGUACGUGAAAUUGUUGAAAGGGAAGGGUAUUAGAUCAGACUUGGUAUUUAGUUAUCAUUACUCCUUGUGGGUGGUGCUCUAGCUUUUUACUGGGCCAGCAUCAGUUUUGGUGACAGGAUAAUAGCAAUUGAAUGUGGCUCUUCGGAGUGUUAUAGCUUUUGUUGAUACUGUCUACUGGGACUGAGGUCUGCGGCUUUGCCUAGGAUGCUGGCGUAAUGAUCCAAUACCGCCCGUCUUGAAACACGGACCA
This 563-nucleotide ribosomal RNA is filed under the name Ogataea sonorensis. RNAcentral's name for it is "[Candida] sonorensis partial large subunit ribosomal RNA". It matches the Rfam family "Eukaryotic large subunit ribosomal RNA", at positions 84 to 668 of the family's 3401-position model. The record is from RNAcentral. Lineage: Eukaryota; Fungi; Ascomycota; Pichiomycetes; Pichiales; Pichiaceae.